GCUAAUUGAAUGACCAGGGCAGGAGGUCCAGGUCUUUAUGCUCGUGGAGAGGAGCCAUGAAUAUCUCUGUUUCAUUUGGGCUUCACACACGGAGGUGGUGGGAAAAGGUGAAUGAGUGUGGGAAUCAGCAGCCACGCACUCUGAAUAUUCACCUUCCUAGAAGUUCUGCGGAGCUAAAAUACAGGCUUGUGUUCUUACAAAUGAGACAAAAACAGUGAUUUUGUGUCAUUUUGUGUGAUGUUUAUCUGAUUAAUACAACAGUGUGCUGUUACACCACGGCCUAGGCAACCGGCGUGCAACACAGAAAAAAUAAAAAUAAGGGGAAAAAAAAAAACAACAAAAAAAACUACUACGGGUCUCCACAAAAAAAAAUCCCAAAACGAAAGGAUCGACAACUAUUUACAUCAAAGCAAAUUAAGACAUUUAUUUACAUCAAAACACCAAACUAUUUACAACCGGGGGGAAGAUCGCAAACCUGACAAACUGAAACACAGGGCUUAAAUACAUAGAGGGAGCAAUCAGGGAAUGGACAACAGGAGGGAAACACAGCUGGGGCAAAUCAGAACUGACGAGACAAGGAAGCGUAAACUGAACACACUGAGAUAAGACAGACUUUCAAAGUAAAGCAGGAAACACAACCGUCACGCCUAAAACAAAACACUGACAACACCGAAUCGUAACAGCUCCCCCCACCCAAAAAUCAAACAUUUAAAACAUGUAACCCCAAAGAAAAUGUUUGAUUCAUGACCAGCGCAUACGGCACCGGCUGCUGUUCUGCAGGCGACGCUGAUGGCUGGACGGGCCCCUUGGAUCCUCCAGUGGAAACGGAAGGCUGGAGCGGUCCCUCGGACCCUCCAGCGAAGGCGGACGAAGGCUGGAGCGGUCCCUCGGACCCUCCAGCGAAGACAGACGGAGGCUGGAGCGGUCCUCGGACCCUCCAGUGAAGACAGACGGACGGCUGAAGCGGUCCUCAGACCCUCCAUCGAAGACAGACGAAGGCUGGAGCGGUCCCUCGGACCCUCCAGCGAAGACAGACGAAGGCUGGAGCGGUCCCUCGGACCCUCCAGCGGAUCCCGGACGAGCCCCCAUUAUGUUACACCACGGCCUAGGCAACCGGCGUGCAACACAGAAAAAAUAAAAAUAAGGGAAAAACAAAACAAAACAAAAAAAACUACUACGGGUCUCCACAAAAAAAAUCCCAAAACGAAAGGAUCGACAACUAUUUACAUCAAAGCAAAAUAAGACAUUUAUUUACAUCAAAACACCAAACUAUUUACAACCGGGGGAAGAUCGCGAACCUGACAAACUGAAACACAGGGCUUAAAUACAUAGAGGGAGCAAUCAGGGAAUGGACAACAGGAGGGAAACACAGCUGGGGCAAAUCAGAACUGACGAGACAAGGAAGCGUAAACUGAACACACUGAGAUAAGACAGACUUUCAAAGUAAAGCAGGAAACACAACCGUCACGCCUAAAACAAAACACUGACAACACCGAAUCGUAACAGUGCAUAUGUGGGAAAUCUACGACAGUCAACAUACAACUGCUUUUGAUUUUAUUAGCCUAGAUGUUGUGUUUUGAGUAUUUCUACAUGAUUUUGUGUUGUAUUCAGUGCAUUUUAAGGUUGUUAAAAUUGCC
Molecule: long non-coding RNA, 1637 nt
Organism: Astatotilapia calliptera (eastern happy)
Lineage: Eukaryota; Metazoa; Chordata; Actinopteri; Cichliformes; Cichlidae
Source: Ensembl